AGAUGUGUAACCAUUCAGAAGAGUAUUAGAAAAGUUAAGCUAAGGUAACUAUCUGAAUAUGCUAUUUGUACAAAGAAUAUUCUAACUGAAUGACACUGAGUUGUGAGCUACCUUUGCAAUAAGCUAUAAAUCGAAGAUAGCAAAUUAACUUGGGUUUUAAUGCGUAAAAUAUACUCAGAAAUUGUUUGAGUACCUUUCUUUGUGUUACGAAGCUCAGAUUCCAAAAGCUUUGGUCAAUGAGUGAUAGAGCUGGUGUAACUACUCCCAUAUUUACCACACGUGCUUGGAACCAAUAACCCGUGGUUGAACUGAUUCUGACAGCGACUGAGGUAGCCAGGACGCAAGAUGCUAAUCCUGCUCCUCCCUAUCUAAAUAAGCAGGACCCA
Molecule: long non-coding RNA, 386 nt
Filed under: Lupinus angustifolius (narrow-leaved blue lupine)
Lineage: Eukaryota; Viridiplantae; Streptophyta; Magnoliopsida; Fabales; Fabaceae
Description: long non-coding RNA (LANG_LNC002861)
Source: RNAcentral